UGGGGAAUUUUGGACAAUGGGCGCAAGCCUGAUCCAGCCAUGCCGCGUGAGUGAAGAAGGCCUUCGGGUUGUAAAGCUCUUUCGGCCGGGAAGAAAUCGCAUUCUCUAAUAUAGGAUGUGGAUGACGGUACCGGACUAAGAAGCACCGGCUAACUACGUGCCAGCAGCCGCGGUAAUACGUAGGGUGCGAGCGUUAAUCGGAAUUACUGGGCGUAAAGCGUGCGCAGGCGGUUUUGUAAGACAGAUGUGAAAUCCCCGGGCUUAACCUGGGAACUGCGUUUGUGACUGCAAGGCUAGAGUACGGCAGAGGGGGGUGGAAUUCCUGGUGUAGCAGUGAAAUGCGUAGAUAUCAGGAGGAACACCGAUGGCGAAGGCAGCCCCCUGGGCCUGUACUGACGCUCAUGCACGAAAGCGUGGGGAGCAAACAGG
This 429-nucleotide ribosomal RNA is filed under the name uncultured Thauera sp. Its description in RNAcentral is "bacterial SSU rRNA". It matches the Rfam family "Bacterial small subunit ribosomal RNA", at positions 355 to 776 of the family's 1533-position model. Lineage: Bacteria; Pseudomonadati; Pseudomonadota; Betaproteobacteria; Rhodocyclales; Zoogloeaceae. The record is from RNAcentral.